GACAAUGAAAGAGAGUUUCUUGUGUCUAACCAGAAAAAUGGACCAAAGGGUAAGUUGAAAGGACUCUUUCACCGGCCACCUAAAGCCAACAAUCCCAAAAACAAUUGCUUUGGCUCCCCAAGAAACAAAAGUUUAUUACCCUGCAUGCAUAAAAUGGCUUCUUCUCCUUCGGAGCAGCUGGGUCCCUCUUUAUAUCUGUCUUCUCUCAAACCUGUUUUUCUCUUUGAGGGAGAACUGCAAGGAAGGGAUUUUCUUUUGGUGGGGUUGGGGGAGGGGGGCUGGAAGGAAAAAAAAUCAGAAAAUGGCUCAAGAGGACAAGCAACUCUCAGCUUUCUCAACCACUCAUUUCUCUAUUUGGGGAUUGAUGAGACCAAAUUACCCUUGCCUGGCAGCGUUGCCCUUCCUUUCAUCCCCAUGUAAUUCCAAAGGUCAUAAUUGGGAAAACUGGGAUUAAGCUUGAAGAGUGCAAAUGUAAACUCUUUUCUCUCUCUUUCUUUGUCUAUCCCAUUACAACAAUAACAUUCCUUCAUAGAAUACGAAAAGAAGGCAGACAGGAUGGAGCCAGGCAAUUCAAGUAGUUAUGGUUUUCUGUGCUUUGUUUUAGAUCAUUCUCAUCAUACUAUAUACUCCUUUUGGUUAAAUUUUUGUUAAGUACUACUUUCCAAGAAAAAGGAAGAGCAACAACAGGUCUUCUGGAGCACAUAUUUAUACAAUUAUAUAUGAAGAAAUCAUCUGCUUAUCUAUGUAUCUGAUCUGCAUGAAAAUCUGGCUUUUUUCAUGUUAUUAUGAAGAUAAUGAUGAUGGUGAUGUUGCAUUUCCUUCCCCUUUUUUCAAUAGCUUGUAUUUAUUUUCAUGCAUAUAAAUAUCGCAGAUCCUUUUUUAUAUCUUUGCUAUUUGCUUUUCUUUUCCUUUCCUGGUUAUAUUAAUUGAGAAAGUUAUAUAUUUUGAUCUCCAG
This 955-nucleotide long non-coding RNA is filed under the name Durio zibethinus. RNAcentral's name for it is "long non-coding RNA (DZIB_LNC002192)". Lineage: Eukaryota; Viridiplantae; Streptophyta; Magnoliopsida; Malvales; Malvaceae. The record is from RNAcentral.